AUGUGAUCGUCUCUCGCAUAUCAAUAAGCGGAGGAAAAGAAACUAACAAGGAUUCCCCUAGUAACGGCGAGUGAAGCGGGAAGAGCUCAAAUUUGAAAUCUUAAAGGGUUUCCCUUUACGAAUUGUAGUUUAAAGAAGUGUUUUCUGUUGAGGUUUUGGUAAAAGUUCUUUGGAAUAGGACAUCAUAGAGGGUGAGAAUCCCGUAUUUGACCUUUACUUUCAACUUUGUGAUACACUUUCAAAGAGUCGGAUUGUUUGGGAAUGCAGUCCAAAAUGGGUGGUAAAUUUCAUCUAAAGCUAAAUAUUGGCGAGAGACCGACUAGCGAACAAGUACCGUGAGGGAAAGAUGAAAAGAACUUUGAAAAGAGAGUUAAACAGUACGUGAAAUUGUCAAAAGGGAAGCGUUUGACACCCAGUGUUGUUUUUUCUGAAAAUCAAUUAAAGAACUGUUUAUGCUAAGCUGUUUAGACUUUAUCAGCUAUCUGUUUAGUUUUGAGCUUUUCUUUAAUGCACUUUUCAGUUAACAAGUCAACAUCAAUUUCUUUUGCUGUAAAAAAAGCUUGAGGAAGGUGGCUUGAGAUUCGUCUUAAGUGUUUAUAGCCUCUUGCCUAUGCAGUCGGAGAGAUUGAGGUCUGCAGCGUAGGAUCCUUCGGGGCUAAAUGCAUUUGUGCUAAGUUAUAGCAUUUUAUAGACAACUUGUUGACUAUGAUUUGUCUUGUAGCUUACUCGCUUAUGUUAUUUUACCUACGCUUAGGAUGUUGAAGACUCUACAGAGAUA
Molecule: ribosomal RNA, 778 nt
Filed under: uncultured Neocallimastigales
Lineage: Eukaryota; Fungi; Neocallimastigomycota; Neocallimastigomycetes; Neocallimastigales
Description: partial large subunit ribosomal RNA
Rfam family: Eukaryotic large subunit ribosomal RNA
Source: RNAcentral